Molecule: ribosomal RNA, 645 nt
Filed under: Triticum aestivum (bread wheat)
Lineage: Eukaryota; Viridiplantae; Streptophyta; Magnoliopsida; Poales; Poaceae
Description: partial small subunit ribosomal RNA
Source: RNAcentral
AUGGGAUCUUCUAGGCUGAAUUUGGAAGGAUUUGAGCCAUUUAUCGGUCCAUCGUUGGAGCACCUGCUGCCACAGCUGUCACGUGAGGAGCGGGUACGAUUGCAGAGCCAACUGGGUGAGCACGAGCGCAAAGUGAAGCGAUGGAGUAAGAAGUGCCCUCCAUUACCUUCGACCCACUCAGAAGGAACGCGCGACUCCUCCAUCAUGCCUCACGUCCGCCAUGCUAUCCGCCAUUACAAUGCCAGGCACCCGGGUGACGAGUUUGAUGUUGUGAAGCCUCUGAUGGAAUCCAAUGCUAGCUUCAGGAAUCAGCUGUGGGUCCACGUCAACUUCUGGGCUCGCAGCCGCAAAAGCAAUAAGAUCAAGCGAUUUUUUGCUGAGGUGCACUACGAUCCAAAUCCCAUCGUUGAAGUGUGCAUCGUCAUUGAAGAGCCUCUUGACAAAUACAGGAGGAGCUGCGCAUUCUGUCCUGCCAACUGGGACAUUUUGCACCCUGUGGGUUCCCGUAAGUUUCUUUGUGGAAAUGACAAGGACAGGAUUGAACAACAACUCAAGCCUCGUGUGCUCUCUGAAUAUCUCGGAAUGCCAUUCACUUGCUGCCCGGCCUCCCCCAUUCAAGAGAAAAAAGGAAAGAAGAAGUUUUGA